This 439-nucleotide ribosomal RNA is filed under the name uncultured bacterium. RNAcentral describes it as "partial 16S ribosomal RNA". It matches the Rfam family "Bacterial small subunit ribosomal RNA", at positions 339 to 795 of the family's 1533-position model. The record is from RNAcentral.
CUACGGGUCGCACCAGUGAGGAAUAUUGCACAAUGGAGGAAACUCUGAUGCAGCAACGCCGCGUGGAGGAUGACGCAUUUCGGUGUGUAAACUCCUUUUAUAUGUCAAGAAAAUGACGGUAGCAUACGAAUAAGCUCCGGCUAACUCCGUGCCAGCAGCCGCGGUAAUACGGAGGGAGCAAGCGUUACUCGGAAUCACUGGGCGUAAAGGACGCGUAGGCGGGAUAGAAAGUCAGGUGUGAAAUCCUAUGGCUCAACCAUAGAACUGCACUUGAAACUUCUAACCUAGAGUAUGGGAGGGGAAGAUGGAAUUAGUGGUGUAGGGGUAAAAUCCGUAGAUAUCACUAGGAAUACCAAAAGCGAAGGCGAUCUUCUGGAACAAUACUGACGCUAAGGCGUGAAAGCGUGGGGAGCAAACAGGAUUAGAUACCCCGGUAGUC